This 31-nucleotide non-coding RNA is filed under the name Mus musculus (house mouse). Lineage: Eukaryota; Metazoa; Chordata; Mammalia; Rodentia; Muridae. The record is from RNAcentral.
UCAAUGUUGAUGACAUCGUUUCUCAAUCCAG